GCUGAUGUAGCUCAAACGGCAGAGCGGCUGCCUUGUAAGCAGCAGGUUAUGAGGUCGAGACUCAUCAUCAGCU
RNAcentral lists this transfer RNA (73 nucleotides) under Gammaproteobacteria bacterium. RNAcentral's name for it is "tRNA-Thr". It matches the Rfam family "tRNA". From Rfam's summary of the family: Transfer RNA (tRNA) molecules are approximately 80 nucleotides in length. Their secondary structure includes four short double-helical elements and three loops (D, anti-codon, and T loops). Lineage: Bacteria; Pseudomonadati; Pseudomonadota; Gammaproteobacteria. RNAcentral also lists the same sequence under 1 other name. The record is from RNAcentral.